Molecule: long non-coding RNA, 220 nt
Filed under: Mytilus galloprovincialis (Mediterranean mussel)
Lineage: Eukaryota; Metazoa; Mollusca; Bivalvia; Mytilida; Mytilidae
Source: RNAcentral
GCACAUAUACAUUGCAUAAUCAAUGAAGUUUGGCCCUUUGGAAAUUGCUUAACAAAUUUACUAAAAAACAACUUUUGUUCAUGAUAAUUUAAUGUGUGUAUUUUCUUUCUUAAUCAAAGAAAAAAACUAUUGGAUUGUGUCUUUAACACACUGAUUAUCCUGUGCUAAUUGAAACAAAAAUAAUAUUUCCUAUAUACAUUUGAACAUUUUUAUAGAAAUC